ACAAAACUCUAUCUUUUGUUAUUUCAGGUUUUAUACGUCGUGCAGGUAUCCAUUUAAUUAAACCAUCCUUUUCCACUGCUGCAUACCCACGCCCAAACACUCUCAGCAACCGGCCCGAUUCCCAUGUCAUCGCUCCCGGUUCCUUGAUCUGAACCAAGGGAUAAUUUCUUGUCAUCUGGAUUGGCAUAAAGUGUUUCCACUGGGGAGGUGUGGACUCGUCGCCUCUAACAAAGUGAUAUAGAGCAUAAAGGGCGUGGGACAAAAGAGUCUGCUGUCGGUCUAUGGGUAUUGUCCCCUUAUGACCUUCCCCCUCCCCAAGCUGUUGUAGUUUCGCUUUUAGAGUGCAAUGCGCACGUUCCACUAUUACUUAUCCUUGACUGUUGUAAGGAAGGCCGUGUACUAACUUGAUGUGUCAUAAUGCACACCAUUCUUUGGUACUUUUAGCGAUGAAACAAGGGCCAUUAUCUGUCUUGAUUUCUUGUGGCUUCCCUAAUAAGGCAAUGACUCCCUCCCAAUGAGCAGUAAUGUGUUUGGCUGUUUGUUUGCGAGCCAUCGUGGCUAAUAUU
Molecule: long non-coding RNA, 566 nt
Organism: Athene cunicularia (burrowing owl)
Lineage: Eukaryota; Metazoa; Chordata; Aves; Strigiformes; Strigidae
Exons: 3
Source: RefSeq, a predicted model, not a curated record